CAAGCGAAUAAGCGCACACGGUGGAUGCCUAGGCGGUCAGAGGCGAUGAAGGACGUGGUAGCCUGCGAAAAGUGUCGGGGAGCUGGCAACAAGCUUUGAUCCGGCAAUAUCCGAAUGGGGAAACCCACUGCUUCGGCAGUAUCCUGCAGUGAAUUCAUAGCUGCUGGAAGCGAACCCGGUGAACUGAAACAUCUAAGUA
This 199-nucleotide ribosomal RNA is filed under the name Xanthomonas phaseoli pv. dieffenbachiae. RNAcentral describes it as "partial 23S ribosomal RNA". It matches the Rfam family "Bacterial large subunit ribosomal RNA", at positions 4 to 208 of the family's 2925-position model. Lineage: Bacteria; Pseudomonadati; Pseudomonadota; Gammaproteobacteria; Lysobacterales; Lysobacteraceae. The record is from RNAcentral.